AGGGCUUCGGCUUCCCUACUUCACACAUGUGGUUCACUGUUGCGGGGGUUCAUGGAGUUAUGGUGGGUGGGAAAUCCGAGAUUCUUUGCAUCCAUGUGAUUUCUGGGGAUCUGUGAAGAACUUCAGACGUGGGUCUGAGCGUUCUUAUCCCAACCCUUGGGCCCCGGCCUGGCUGUCAGCACUUUCGGACCUCCACCCUCUUCCGUGCACCCCAAGGCCAGUGUGUCGUUGUUAGCGUGUGGGGUGGACAGAUCUGGUGUGUAGCCGGUGGUGGGGAAAGGACUCAUUUUGUCCUAGCACCCACACACACACACAGGCCCCCACUCCUCUCUACCUCUGCUAAGGAGGGCUCAAAACCCACCAGCAGAAAUGUGGCUCGGUAGUCCAACAUGCAACAUGGACUUUUAAUUUUUUUUCUUUUUCUUUUUUUUUCCAGAGUCUACAAUAAAGCAUCUAAUUGGUGUCAGAGAGUUUACAGAAUAAAACCUUCUGAAUGUCUUGUGUAAUCUUUGUCUUGUAGGUAUCUCUUCAACUGUGGAGAAGGCGUUCAGAGACUCAUGCAGGAGCACAAGUUGAAGGUUGCUCGCCUGGACAACAUAUUCCUGACACGAAUGCACUGGUCUAAUGUUGGGGGCUUAAGUGGAAUGAUUCUUACUUUAAAGGAAACCGGGCUUCCAAAAUGUGUACUUUCUGGACCUCCGCAACUGGAAAAAUACCUCGAAGCAAUCAAAAUAUUUUCUGGUCCAUUGAAAGGAAUAGAAAUGGCUGUGCGGCCCCACUCUGCCCCAGAAUACAAGGAUGAAACCAUGACAGUUUACCAGAUCCCCAUACACAGUGAACAGAAGAGGGGAAAGCACCAACCAUGGCAGAGUCCAGAAAGGCCUCUCGGCAGGCUCAGUCCAGAGCGAUCUUCAGACUCCGAGUCGAAUGAAAAUGAGCCGCACCUUCCACAUGGUGUUAGCCAGAGAAGAGGGGCCAGGGACUCUUCCCUGGUCGUAGCUUUCAUCUGUAAGCUUCACUUAAAGAGAGGAAACUUCUUGGUGCUCAAAGCAAAGGAGAUGGGCCUCCCAGUUGGGACAGCUGCCAUCGCUCCCAUCAUUGCUGCUGUCAAGGACGGGAAAAGCAUCACUCAUGAAGGAAGAGAGAUUUUGGCUGAAGAGCUGUGUACUCCUCCAGAUCCUGGUGCUGCUUUUGUGGUGGUGGAAUGUCCAGAUGAAGGCUUCAUUCAACCCAUCUGUGAGAAUGCCACCUUUCAGAGGUACCAAGGAAAGGCAGAUGCCCCCGUGGCCUUGGUGGUUCACAUGGCCCCAGAAUCUGUGCUGGUGGACAGCAGGUACCAGCAGUGGAUGGAGAGGUUUGGGCCUGACACCCAGCACUUGGUCCUGAAUGAGAACUGUGCCUCAGUUCACAACCUUCGCAGCCACAAGAUUCAAACCCAGCUCAACCUCAUCCACCCGGACAUCUUCCCCCUGCUCACCAGUUUCCCCUGUAAGGUAGUGUCUCAGACCGGCCCCUUGUCGGCCCAGCUCUCGUCCCCUCUCUUUCUCUCCAUGAAUGUGUUUUGUCUCUUUCAGGAGGUCCCCACCCUCAGUGUGCCCGUGGUUCAGGGUGAAUGCCUCCUCAAGUACCAGCUCCGUCCCAGGAGGGAGUGGCAGAGGGAUGCCAUUAUUACUUGCAAUCCUGAGGAAUUCAUAGUUGAGGCGCUGCAGCUUCCCAACUUCGAGCAGAGCGUGCAGGAGUACAGGAGGAGUGCGCAGGACGGCCCAGCCCUAGCAGAGAAAAGAAGUCAGUACCCAGAAAUCAUCUUCCUUGGAACAGGGUCUGCCAUCCCGAUGAAGAUUCGAAAUGUCAGUGCCACACUUGUCAACAUAAGCCCCAACACGUCUCUGCUACUGGACUGUGGUGAGGGCACGUUUGGGCAGCUGUGCCGUCAUUACGGAGACCAGGUGGACAGAGUCCUGGGCACCCUGGCUGCUGUGUUUGUGUCCCACCUGCACGCAGAUCACCACACGGUGAGUGUUGGGCUGGACCACAAAGCUGGAGCCUGGAGGAGGCACUGCCAUGUUGAGUUGGCCCUUUGGCCGCGUCUUUUCCUCGACUUCCAAACUUGCCCAGGGCUUUUGUUACUCAUCUCUAGCUAGGAAAUGGUCUUUUACAAAACUCAACAUAGCCCUUCUGCGCCACAAGGAUGUCUUCUCUUUCUAUUUAGUUCCUUUCCUGCAGCAGGACAGGUUUGAGUUUACCCAGUCUUCCUUGAAUCUUGAAUCUCACACGGCCUGCUCAGAGGAAGCUUUGGCCAGAUGCAGGAGGUGUGGCUAUGAGACCCUCACCUUGGUCUCCUGGGGUGCCCGACCCUGGGCCAUUGCCCUCUUCCCAACACGGGUCAUGUUGCUUUCUGCCCGUGACAUUUCAGGGUCAUGGCGCAGGGGGCUCAGCCUGUGCCACCCCCACUGCGGCUGUGUUAGAGGCUGGUGGGUGACAUAGGGCUGGCAACUCCUGCAAGAGGGAGGACUCCAGACCCUAACCCGAAGGAGAUCGCCCUGGGGCCUGGCUAAUGCAUGUCUCCUGUUUCUUUGCCAGGGCUUGCUAAAUAUCUUGCUGCAGAGAGAACGAGCCUUGGCAUCUUUGGGAAAGCCACUUCACCCUUUGCUGGUGAUUGCCCCCAGCCAGCUCAAAGCCUGGCUCCAGCAGUACCACAACCAGUGCCAGGAGGUCCUGCACCACAUCAGUAUGAUUCCUGCCAAAUGCCUUCAGGAAGGGGCUGAGAUCUCCAGUCUUGCAGUGGAAAGAUUGAUCAGUUCGCUGUUGGGAACAUGUGAUUUGGAAGGGGUAAGGGGCACAGCUGCAGGCAUCGUGGGGGCGAGGUGGGGAGCAGAGCUGCAGAGCCCUCCAGCCCCGCCCUUUUAGUUUCAGACCUGUCUGGUGCGGCACUGCAAGCAUGCGUUUGGCUGUGCGCUGGUGCACACCUCUGGCUGGAAAGUGGUCUAUUCCGGGGACACCAUGCCCUGCGAGGCUCUGGUCCGGAUGGGGAAAGAUGCCACCCUCCUGAUACAUGAAGCCACCCUGGAAGAUGGUUUGGAAGAGGAAGCAGUGGAAAAGACACACAGCACAACGUCCCAGGCCAUCAGCGUGGGGAUGCGGAUGAACGCAGAGUUCAUCAUGCUGAACCACUUCAGCCAGCGCUACGCCAAGGUCCCCCUCUUCAGCCCCAACUUCAACGAGAAAGUGGGAGUUGCCUUUGACCACAUGAAGGUCUGCUUUGGAGACUUUCCAACAAUGCCCAAGCUGAUUCCCCCACUGAAAGCCCUGUUUGCUGGCGACAUCGAGGAGAUGGAGGAGCGCAGGGAGAAGCGGGAGCUGCGGCAGGUGCGGGCGGCCCUCCUGUCCAGGGAGCUGGCAGGCAGCCUGGAGGAUGGGGAGCCUCAGCAGAAACAGGCCCACACAGAGGAGCCACAGGCCAAGAAGGUCAGAGCCCAGUGAAGAUCUGGGAGACCCUGAACUCUGAAGGCUGUGUGUCUUCUGCCCCACGCACGCACCCGUAUCUGCCCUCCUUGCUGGUAGAAGCUGAAGAGCACGGUCCCCCAGGAGGCAGCUCAGGAUAGGUGGUAUGGAGCUGUGCCAAGGCUUGGGCUCCCAGAUAAGCACUAGUCUAUAGAUGCCUCUUAGGACUGGUGCCUGGCACAGCCGCGGGACAGGAGGCUGCCACACGGAAGCAAGCAGAUGAACUAAUUUUAUUUCAAGGCAGUUUUUAAAAAGAAGUCAUGGAAACAGACGGCAGCACCUUUCCUCUAAUCUAGCAAAGAGAUUCCCUGCACGCCAGAGACAAGCAGAGUAACAGGAUCACUGGGUCUAAGUGUCUGAGACUCAAUGAAAAUAGUAUUUCAGCUGCAAUAAAGAUUGAGUUUGCAA
This 3909-nucleotide small RNA is filed under the name Pongo abelii (Sumatran orangutan). Its description in RNAcentral is "retained intron". The record is from RNAcentral. Lineage: Eukaryota; Metazoa; Chordata; Mammalia; Primates; Hominidae.